UAGAUGGAAGGCUCUCGUAGAAGCCCUAAGUUCCCGAGAGAAAUAAGAAGGAAUUAAAGAAAAAAAAAAUUGUAGUUAGCCAUUAGUAGCCUUUUCUAAAAAAAAAAUACGUUGGUGGGCCUAAUUUCCCACCCACUGAAGAAAUGCUACAAGUCCCAGCAACUCGUUCCUUUUCAAUCAAUUGCGCUCCCUUGACCCUUUUUGUGUGGAUGCGUGGGCCAAAAAGCUAUUAUGUUGCUCAAUUGAAUCCAUUGUUCGUCAAAAUUCGGCACAAAGAAAAACCCGUGGGCACGGCCCAAGCAAAACAAACUGGAUCCAUGUUGAUCCCUUGUCUGAAGGACCUCGGAGGCAAACAAAGCCGGACAAUGGCGGCCGAAGAAUAAAAAUGCCCAGCAAUUAUUACCAAUUGAUACUGGAGCGGAGCACAACAGGGGAUAUGUAUAAGCCCCAGUCGCUCAGCCCACCGACAAGGGAAAAUAUGUUGAACAGUUAAGCAAAUAUUAAAGGGAGCAAAACGCAAAAGGAGUGCCACAAAAUAUCAACCUCUUAAUCAAUGUCAGGGGAGCGUAGAAAUAUUCGCUGAAAAUAAUAAUUUAUGCAGUUUAGUUCGGUUAAGCCGAACAAUGGGAGGAAAAAAUAGCAGAAAACACAAAGGAUUUUGCCCGGAAGGGAAAAGCAAUUUAGUUUGACCUUAUUUGGCACACUACUGUGCAACAAAGUCACCUGGUAUUGGAUCUUCUAUAUUCUUUAAUAGGUAAAACAUAAAGUUGCCAUAAAAAUCGAUCGACCCUAAAAAAUGUUUAAAACUAUAUUUUUUUUGCAAUUUAAGUUUUUCUGCCCGUCAUCAGUUUAUAAAAAUAAAACGUUGCUGUUAGAUCGUAAUAAUGAAAAAGGGUAUAUGAUCAAAA
Drosophila yakuba is the source of this 908-nucleotide long non-coding RNA. RefSeq lists it as uncharacterized. The record is from RefSeq and is a predicted model, not a curated record. NCBI's taxonomy places the organism in Eukaryota, Metazoa, Arthropoda, Insecta, Diptera, Drosophilidae. The transcript is spliced from 2 exons.